CGGCAGAGGUUACUGCUAUCGAGGUUCGACUAAGCCAUGCGAGUCGAAUGUAGCAAUACAUGGCGAACUGCUCAGUAACACGUGGACAACCUGCCCUUAGGUUGGGUAUAAACCCGGGAAACUGGGUAUAAUACCCGAUAGGUCUCGAUUGCUGGAAUGCAUCGAGAUUUAAAGCUCCGGCGCCUAAGGAUGGGUCUGCGGCCUAUCAGGUAGUAGUGGGUGUAGCGUACCUACUAGCCUACGACGGGUACGGGUUGUGAGAGCAAGAGCCCGGAGAUGGAUUCUGAGACACGAAUCCAGGCCCUACGGGGUGCAGCAGGCGCGAAAACUUUACAAUGCUGGCAACAGCGAUAAAGGAACCUCGAGUGCCAGGUUACAAAUCUGGCUGUCGAGAUGCCUAAAAAGCAUUUCAUAGCAAGGGCCGGGCAAGACCGGUGCCAGCCGCCGCGGUAACACCGGCGGCUCGAGUGGUAACCGUUAUUAUUGGGUCUAAAGGGUCUGUAGCCGGCCGGAUAAGUCUCUUGAGAAAUCUGGCAGCUUAACUGUCAGGCUUUCAGGAGAUACUGUCUGGCUCGAGGCCGGGAGAGGUGAGAGGUACUUCAGGGGUAGGGGUGAAAUCUUGUAAUCCUUGAAGGACCACCAGUGGCGAAGGCGUCUCACCAGAACGGACCUGACGGCAAGGGACGAAAGCUAGGGGCACGAACCGGAUUAGAUACCCGGGUAGUCCUAGCCGUAAACGAUACUCGCUAGGUGUCGGCCACGGUGCGACCGUUGUCGGUGCCGUAGGGAAGCCGUGAAGCGAGCCACCUGGGAAGUACGGCCGCAAGGCUGAAACUUAA
Molecule: ribosomal RNA, 839 nt
Filed under: uncultured archaeon
Lineage: Archaea
Description: bacterial SSU rRNA
Rfam family: Archaeal small subunit ribosomal RNA
Source: RNAcentral